CACGUAGGGGCGAGCGUUGUCCGGAAUUACUGGGAGUAAAGGGCGCGCAGGCUGUUAUGCGAGUCUGCUGUGAAAUGUACCGGCUCAACCGGUGCCUUGCGGCGGAUACUGCAUAGCUGGAGUACUGGAGAGGGAAGUGGAAUUCCCGGUGUAGCAGUGAAGUGCGUAGAUAUCGGGAGGAACACCGGUGGCGAAGGCGGCUUUCUGGCCAGUUACUGACGCUCAUGCGCGAAAGCUGGGGUAGCGAACCGGAUUAGAUA
RNAcentral lists this ribosomal RNA (260 nucleotides) under uncultured prokaryote. RNAcentral's name for it is "partial 16S ribosomal RNA". It matches the Rfam family "Bacterial small subunit ribosomal RNA", at positions 524 to 784 of the family's 1533-position model. The record is from RNAcentral.